UUUAUGGAGAGUUUGAUCCUGGCUCAGGAUGAACGCUGGCGGCGUGCCUAAUACAUGCAAGUCGAGCGAACGGACGAGAAGCUUGCUUCUCUGAUGUUAGCGGCGGACGGGUGAGUAACACGUGGAUAACCUACCUAUAAGACUGGGAUAACUUC
Molecule: ribosomal RNA, 155 nt
Filed under: Staphylococcus aureus
Lineage: Bacteria; Bacillati; Bacillota; Bacilli; Caryophanales; Staphylococcaceae
Description: partial 16S ribosomal RNA
Rfam family: Bacterial small subunit ribosomal RNA
Source: RNAcentral